Molecule: small RNA, 2942 nt
Filed under: Pongo abelii (Sumatran orangutan)
Lineage: Eukaryota; Metazoa; Chordata; Mammalia; Primates; Hominidae
Description: retained intron
Source: RNAcentral
UUGUUUUGAUAUAGAAACUUGCUUUGUUGUCCAGGCUGAAGUACAGUGGCAUGAUCUUGGCUCACUGCAACCUCCGCCUCCCAGGUUCAAGUGAUUCUCCUGCCUCAGCCUCCCAAGUAGCUGGGAUUACAGGCACGCGCCACCACGCCCGGCUAAUUUUUGUAUUUUUAGUAGAGAUGAGGUUUCACUGUGUUGGCAAGGCUGGUCUCGAACUCCUGAGCUCAAGUGAUCCACCCGCGUCUGUUUUAUUUCUUAAAUUCAUGUGAAGUCUGGAUAUCUUGCAGUCCUUUUGACCAGGUCUUCUUACUUGCCUGCGAUAUAUCCCCCAUUCCCAUCCCCAGUUCCCCAGCCCCCUCCCAGGAGGUGACCCUGGCCAGCAGCUUCUUGUUGACCCUCCCAGAGAUUAGUAGACAGAUGUGUAUCUGAGGACACUGAUGUGCCUCACUCUCCUCGCUGCUCAACACCUAAGUCUGGGCAGUGCUUUCUCAUGGGGACUGGACUCUACCUGGCACAAGGCUCCUCACUGCUCCUCACUGCCAGCCCCACCUGCUAACCCAGAGACAUUGGAGGGCCUGGCCAGGACGUGCCUUCUCACGGUGGGGGCGGGGGGGUGCUCCACCCCCAAGCCCAGGGUCACUGGCCUCAGCUUUCUUGUGGAUCCACUCUUGUGCUCAGGGUGGACUUUCAGGUAGAUCCAAGGAGAGGACUUUCUGCUCUCAGGGUGCCUGCCCACAGCCUCUUUUUAAACAGUGUCUGGGCUUGUCUGGAGGUGGACUGGCUGGCUGGGUCCAACUCCAGGGCCAGUGGGCCAAAGAAGAGAGGAGGCAGAGGAGCAGCUGCAGCAGCACAGUGUGGGGGGUUUGCUCAGAGAAGCAGUCACAGGGGCCUCCACAUCUCAGGUCCUGCUCCUCAGCCAGGCGCUGGGUGGCCCAGGUGUGUGGUGGGAGCCUGUGCAGGUGUGAUCCAGAUGUUCCCCGGCCCCUCUCCCUUCCCAGGAGGGUGAGCGGGCCUUGCAGAGGUGGCUGGCAGCUGGGGGCUCCCUUUCUGAGAAGAGGGCCUUUCUGCCUGUGAGUCAGCACAGGGAGCCUGCUGUGGCCAUGUCUAGGGCCAUGGCUCCCUGAUCCCCCAGGAAGAAGUUGGAGUGGGGAGGGGGACCAGCCUCACCUGCUGCCACCCACAGACCCAGCUCAUCCAGAUGGUGGUGUGGAUGCUGCAGCGCCGGCUUCUCAUCCAGCUGCACACCUAUGUCUGUCUGAUGGCCUCACCCAGCGAGGAGGAGCCCCGCCCGCGAGAGGACGACGUCCCCUUCACUGCCCGGGUUGGCGGUCGCAGCCUCAGCACGCCCAACGCCCUCAGCUUUGGCUCCCCAAGUAGGGCCCCCAGUGCACUGCUGUGGUAGUCAGGGGAGACGCUUGGGGGUGGCAUCCAGGAGGCUCAACAUGGGCAGUGCUGUGAGUGAUGAGGGGCCUCCACACGGCUGCACACGCACAUGCACGUGCCUUGUGUCCCCUGUGGAGACACCUCUCCUGUCUCCUAGCACCACCAUGACUCUGAGGUGGCAGCUCUGUCUCCGGGCUCUUCAGCAGGCUUGCUAGAAUUAGGAGCAGCUCUCAGCCCACCAAAUCUGUGCUGGAAUCUCUGCCCCAGCCUGGGAGAAGAGCAGGAUCUCACACCACUACCAGGACAGCUGUCACCUCUGUGCCCCAGAAGAGCUGUCAUGGCCAGUGUGGCUUGAGGGCAGCAGCCUGUUGCCAGGUUCCAGGUCCCCGGUCCCCAGGCUUGGGGAAGGAAGGGGGUGGAAGACUUUGAAAGUCCCCCCUUGGCUGAGGUCUGGCUGUAGGCUUCAUGCUUCAUGUCAGGACCCCACCUGCCCAGGGUGCUUUGUCCUCCAUCCUGGGUGAGGGGCAGGAUGCCCAGGCCCACCUUGGGGUGUUUGUGGGGCACACACUGCACCUCUGUUCAGGUCCCUUGAGGUUGCCCCCAGAGGGGAGGCUACCCGUUUCCCAAGUCAGCCAUAUGAGGGGCGUGUCACACCCAGGAGGUAGGGCAGCAGCAGAUGCUUGCAGGCAGAUGUACCCUAACCCUUGUGGGAGUUAGAGGUGUCAUUGGAGGCUGGCUGCUGGCUCUGCCCUCGCUGUUCCCCUGGGUGUCCUGGAAUUCCACUUGGUCACUCUGACCCAUGCCCCCCACAGCCAGCAGCGAUGACAUGACCCUCACCAGCCCCAGCAUGGACAACUCCAGCGCAGAACUACUUCCCAGCGGGGACUCGCCACUGAACCAGAGGAUGACGGAGAACCUGCUGGCCAGCCUGUCGGAGCAUGAACGCGCAGCCAUCCUCAGUGUACCCGCAGCCCAGAACCCUGAGGACCUCCGCAUGUUUGCCAGGCUCCUUCAUUACUUCCGCGGCCGCCACCACCUGGAGGAGAUCAUGUACAACGAGAACACGCGGCGCUCCCAGCUGCUCAUGCUGUUUGACAAGUUCCGCAGCGUGCUGGUGGUGACCACCCACGAGGACCCCGUCAUUGCCGUCUUCCAGGCUCUGCUCCCCUGAGCCCAGGCGGAGGGCGGAAGGCUGCUGGGGCGCGCAGCUUUGGAAAGGCCCCUUGGAUUCCUGGCUGGGGACAACGAUGACCUGGACCCUGGCCAGAAGGGCCCUGGCCCUCCAGCAAGGCAGCUCCCUAGAGACACCUGCUCUGACGCACCUGUGCACCCCUGGCCCUCCCAGCCACCUGGGAGUCAGAAGCUUAGCCCGGAGGUGGCCAAGCCAGUCCCUAAUCUUGGGCUGCAGCCACAUGAGGCUCUGCAUCAGCAGCCAGGGGCGAGCACUAGUGGACAAAGCCAUGCCCUCCGGCAAAGCCAGCAAAUGCGGCGUUCCUGUGAGCAGAUACCCUCGACCAGCCAGUUGUCAAAAGUAUUUCAAGAUAAAAUCAAGGCCAAGCAGA